UGUCAGGUGUAUACACCGUUAAUAUACUCACGUGUUACAUGUCAUGGUGUAUGUCAGGUGUAUGUACCGUUAAUAUAUUCACGUGAUACAUGUCAUGGUGCCAGGCAGGUGUAUGUACGGUUGAUAUACUCACGUGUUACAUGUCGUCAGAUCAGGCAGGUGUAUGUACCGUUAAUAUACUCACGUGUUACAUGUCGUCAGAUCAGGCAGGUGUAUGUACGGUUAAUAUACUCACGUGUUACAUGUCGUCAGAUCAGUCAGGUGUAUGUACCGUUAAUAUACUCACGUGUUACAUGGCAUGGUGUCUGUCAGGUGUAUGUACCGUCGAUAUACUCACGUGUUACAUGCCAUGGUGUCUGUCAGGUGUAUGUACCGUUGAUAUACUCACGUGUUACAUGUCGUCAGAUCAGGCAGGUGUAUGUACCGUUAAAAUGCUCACAUGUUACAAGUCGUCAAAUCAGGCAGAUGUAUGUACCGUUGAUAUAUUCACGUGUUACAUGUCAUGGUGUCUGUCAGGUGUAUGUACGGUUAAUAUACUCACGUGUUACAUGUCAUGGCGUCUGUCAGGUGAAUGUACCUUUAAUAUACUCACAUGUUACAUACCAGAUCAGUCAGGUGUACGUACCGUUGAUGUACUCACGUGUUACAUGUCGUUAAAUCAGGCAGGUGUAUG
Molecule: long non-coding RNA, 673 nt
Organism: Haliotis rubra (blacklip abalone)
Lineage: Eukaryota; Metazoa; Mollusca; Gastropoda; Lepetellida; Haliotidae
Exons: 4
Source: RefSeq, a predicted model, not a curated record